This is a long non-coding RNA of Drosophila mojavensis, 834 nucleotides long. RefSeq lists it as uncharacterized. NCBI's taxonomy places the organism in Eukaryota, Metazoa, Arthropoda, Insecta, Diptera, Drosophilidae. The record is from RefSeq and is a predicted model, not a curated record. The transcript has 2 exons.
CAAGUUCAAAAAAAUGGCGCUGCCAACUUCAGAACUUUUUAAGUGCUCAUGAGCUUAUAGAGUUGCGGGCUUUUUACUCUGUUUACUUUUCAAAUGUUUACGUUUGUCGAAUGUUUUUUUAUUUUAUUUUAUUUUUUUAUUAUUUUGCUUCUAAAGUGGUCACAGCGAAUUGCCCAAUUGCUAUUGUGCUAUAAAUGUCAAAAUUAAACUUGUUAUUGAAAUGUUUUUGUAUGACAAACAGUUGCAUCUAGAAAAGAAACUCAAUUUGGGUUUAUAUUUAGAGAGUAGGAUUACAUUUAUUAUAUAAUUUAAAGAAUUGUUUGAAUAUAUUGAUAAACAAAAAUAAGUUUAACAAGUAAAUUUAAAUUCCAAAAAUAGUUUUUCUUUGCCAAUGGAAAAUCUGUUUAAAAAUUAAAAUGUUGCAAUGGAACUGGGAGUAAGGAUGUUUUCAAUCCAUAAAAUCCUGCACUGCAAUGCACGUCCUGAAGUUGAUUUUAUGAGAAAAUUGAUUAGUGUUUUAAAGGACUUUUAAGGUUAUCCUGAUAUAGUAUCCUUAAACAAUUGUGAAUGGAACGACUUGUUGCUGAUUUGCUGUAUUCCUUCGAGUACCAAUAAAAAAAAAAAGUUUUUAUAAACAUUGAAUGACUUCAUUAUAAUGACUGUUGACUGUUCCAUUGAAUAACUGACUAGAUGCAGCAUAGCGCUAUGCAAUGCGCUUUGAAACGUCAGCUAUGCCGACAUCUUGCCAAUUCAACAAUAGAUGCGAUAAACCGAAAUAUUUAUAAAUAUAGAUGAUAUAUAUAUUUGAAACACAAAUUAAACAACUUCAAACAA